UGACUCGAGCCGAGCGCCGGGGGGGCGGGGUGCAGCGGCGCCGCGGGAGGAGCUGGGCGCGGAGCGCGGCCCCUUCCCUGCGGGCGCGCGGCCAGGUUACAGCCACGCUCAGGAGCCUCUUGGGAAAAGCCCAAAAGUCCCCAUUUUGCAGAAAGCCUGCUGGGAUGUGGUGGGACCCCGCGGCGAGAGAAACCCCGGGAGGCCUCGAAAGCCCUGGCUUCCAGGGCCCCACCCUGCCUGGGCAAGGCCUCCCGCGCUCCGGGGCCCGCACUUCCGGCCCCCGCGGGUUCCCUGACCUGCGCUACCGGGCACUUCCGCCGCCAGACACGUGGCCCCGGGGCCUGGAGGAGGCUGCUGGAAGGCCCGGCUCUAGCAGUUGGGGCCUUCACCUGUCCCCGUUAUUUCGUCGCAAGCCCCUGUGGGAAGUGGGCCUUCACCAGUUUCUGUACUUAGGAGGCAUGGCCUGCAACAAAUGUCGAAAGAAUUACUGAGUGAAUCUGCUGCCUCUUUGGGCAUAUGGUGAGGUUUCUCACUGGCCAGCACUAUGAAGGUUGAUGGCAUCAUCAUUCACUCCACAUCAAAGGAUAUCUACUCAUCAGUGUGCUGUUGUCAGUCAGAGGUUUCCAAAUAUGUGUUCCCCAACUCAAAGAAAAGUAGCUGGAUCCAGGCAGAAAGGUGUCUGGGAACUCCUUUACUGUGCAGGGUGUGUCUCCAGAGAAAGCUGCUUCAGCAUUCUUCUCGAUCUUUGUUUUCGGAAUACUUUUCCCUACAGUAUUCUCCAGACUCUAAAAUACUAGAAUAGUUCCCAAGUUCAUCCAGAUCUUUCCCAUGGUUGAAUUCUUGGUCCUUUUUCCACCCCCUGGCUUACAUGUAGAUGAAAAAUAAACAACAAUAAAGGAAUAAAAAUUGUUUGUUU
RNAcentral lists this long non-coding RNA (916 nucleotides) under Vulpes vulpes (red fox). Its description in RNAcentral is "lncRNA (ENSVVUG00000029379.1)". The record is from RNAcentral. Lineage: Eukaryota; Metazoa; Chordata; Mammalia; Carnivora; Canidae.